CCGCAGCGCCCCCCGGUGGUGGGGUGGGGAAAGGGGGGACGGCGCCCCGGAGAUGUUGGGAAUUGGGCGCCCCCUGGUGGUGGGGAGGGGUAUAGCGGGACCUCACCGCGUGAGUCUGGGGUGGCGCCGCAGCGCCCCCCGGUGGUGGGAUGGGGAAAAGGUGCGGUGCCUUUAUGUCGGUAAUCGGGCACCCCGUGGUGAUAGGAAGGGGUGAAGGGGGUGCGAUGCCUUGAAGGUGGUGGUAGUUGGGCGCCCCCUGGUGGUAGGGAGGGGUAUAGCAGUGUCCGUCCGUCCCCCCCCCCAAGUAUAUGGUGAUGCUGGAGCGCCCCCUCGUGGUGGGGAGGGGUAGAGGGGGUGCGGCGCCUUUAAGUUUGAAAUUGUUCGGCGCCCCCUGCUGGUAGGGAGGGGUAUAGCAGUGCCUUCUCCCCUAUGUAAAUGCUGGCGGGUUGUGGUAAAAGGAGAUGCCCACCCCCCAUACGAGAUUAUAGUGGAGGAAAGGGGGGGGCGCCCCCACAGUGGUGGGUUUGGGGCAUUGGAUUGCCUCCCCCCCCCCCUCCCAUGUUGGUGGUGUUGGAGCGCCCCCUAGUGGUGGAUUUGGAGUAAAGGGAGCACCCCCUGGUGGUGGGAUGGGUUAUCGCAGCGCCUCCCCAUAUAAAAAUAGCGAUGUUGGGGCGCCCCCUGCUGGUGGGAUGGGGUAAAAGGGGAUCCCCCCCAAUUUGUAAAUUCAAGUGUCCCAAAAUGGGGCAAUUGUGGGGGGAGCGCUCAGCAGUGGGGGGGGCACAGAGGUGCGCCGCCCCCCCUCCCCCCCCAGUAAAGCCACUUCCGGUUGGGGGGUGGGGGGGUUGGUUGGGGGCAAUGGGGUCACCCCGCUGCCCUAUGGAGGGGAGGGGGGAGGCAGAGGG
RNAcentral lists this long non-coding RNA (902 nucleotides) under Gallus gallus (chicken). Lineage: Eukaryota; Metazoa; Chordata; Aves; Galliformes; Phasianidae. The record is from RNAcentral.